This 497-nucleotide ribosomal RNA is filed under the name uncultured bacterium. Its description in RNAcentral is "partial 16S ribosomal RNA". It matches the Rfam family "Bacterial small subunit ribosomal RNA", at positions 28 to 507 of the family's 1533-position model. The record is from RNAcentral.
GAUGAACGCUGGCGGCGUGCCUAAUACAUGCAAGUCGAGCGAACAGACGAGGAGCUUGCUCCUCUGACGUUAGCGGCGGACGGGUGAGAAACACGUGGAUAACCUACCUAUCAGACUGGGAUCACUUCGGGAAACCGGAGCUAAUACCGGAUAAUAUAUUGCACCGCAUGGUUCAAUAGUGAAAGACGGCUUUGCUGUCACUUAUAGAUGGAUCCGCGCCGGAUUAGCUAGUUGGUAAGGUAACGGCUUACCAAGGGGACUAUGCGUAGCCGACCUGUGAGGGUGAUCGGCCACACUGGAACGGAGACACGGUCCAGGCUCCUACGGGAGGCAGCAGUAGGGAAUCUUCCGCAAUGGGCGAAAGCUUGACGGAGCAACGCCGCGUGAGUGAUGAAGGUCUUCGGAUCGUAAAACUCUGUUAUUAGGGAAGAACAAAUGUGUAAGUAACUAUGCACGUCUUGACGGUACCUAAUCAGAAAGCCACGGCUAACUACGUG